This 698-nucleotide ribosomal RNA is filed under the name Metacrangonyx sp. n. DJ2019. RNAcentral's name for it is "12S ribosomal RNA". Lineage: Eukaryota; Metazoa; Arthropoda; Malacostraca; Amphipoda; Metacrangonyctidae. The record is from RNAcentral.
CUAAACUGUUGUUUGCCUUAUUUUUAUUAAAAACUUUAUAUUUAAAAAUUUUGCUCUGUUUGUCCGGUUGAUCUUUACUUUUCAGAAGUUCCUAAUUUUCUCCCCUAGUGAAAUCUUUAAGAGAGAUUUUUAUAGAAAUAAUAAAUCUGGUGCCAGCAUUUGCGGUUAUACCAGAAUUUUAAAGAUAUUUAUUAAGGUAUAUAAUUUAAUAGAACUAACAUUUGUAAUACGAGCUAGGUGAAAUUCUUCUUUAUCCUUCAAGUUCUUAAUAUUUUUAAAAAAUAAGACCUUAAACUAGGAUUAGAUACCCUACUAUACUUAUUUUAAAACGAGCCCAUUAAAAAAUUACAUAUAAAAUUUGAAGGUUUGGCGGCUUUUUUAUUUAGAGGAACUUGUCUAUUAAAAUGAUACGCCCCAUUAUUUUCGUUUUUAACUAAGUUUUGUAUACCAUCAUUUUAAUGAUUUCUAAAUAAAUAAUCAUUUUAAAAUUUUUUAAGACGUUAGAUCAAGGUGCAGAUAUAUUUAAAAUUAGAUUAGUUACAUUAAUAGAUUAUUACGGUGUUAAAUAAAAUUUUAGUGAAGGUGGAUUUAAAUGUAAUAUAAGCAUAUAUAUGAAAAUUAAUAAUUUAGUGUACAAAUUGCCCGUCACUCUCUAUGAGAUAAGUCGAAACAAAGUAGAAAUACCUGAAGGUGUUUCU